AUUGAACGCUGGCGGCAGGCCUAACACAUGCAAGUCGAACGAGUGGCGGACGGGUGAGUAAUGUCUGGGAAACUGCCUGAUGGAGGGGGAUGAGUACUGGAAACGGUAGCUAAUACCGCAUACCAUCAGAUGGGCCCUGAUGGGAUUAGCUAGUAGGUGGGGUAAAGGUUCACCUAGGCGACGAUCCCUAGCUGGUCUGAGAGGAUGACCAGCCACACGGGGACUGAGACACGGUCCAGACUCCUACGGGAGGCAGCAGUGGGGAAUAUUGCACAAUGGGCGAAAGCCUGAUGCAGCCAUGCCGCGUGUAUGAAGAAGGCCUUCGGGUUGUAAAGUACUUUCAGCGGGGAGGCGUUACCCGAAGAAGAAGCCCCGGCUAACUCCGUGCCAGCAGCCGCGGUAAUUC
This 406-nucleotide ribosomal RNA is filed under the name uncultured bacterium. RNAcentral's name for it is "partial 16S ribosomal RNA". It matches the Rfam family "Bacterial small subunit ribosomal RNA", at positions 30 to 526 of the family's 1533-position model. The record is from RNAcentral.